GAUGAACGCUGGCGGCGUGCCUAAUACAUGCAAGUCGAGCGAACUGAUUAGAAGCUUGCUUCUAUGACGUUAGCGGCGGACGGGUGAGUAACACGUGGGCAACCUGCCUGUAAGACUGGGAUAACUUCGGGAAACCGAAGCUAAUACCGGAUAGGAUCUUCUCCUUCAUGGGAGAUGAUUGAAAGAUGGUUUCGGCUAUCACUUACAGAUGGGCCCGCGGUGCAUUAGUUAGUUGGUGAGGUAACGGCUCACCAAGGCAACGAUGCAUAGCCGACCUGAGAGGGUGACCGGCCACACUGGGACUGAGACACGGCCCAGACUCCUACGGGAGGCAGCAGUAGGGAAUCUGCCGCAAUGGACGAAAGUCUGACGGAGCAACGCCGCGUGAGUGAUGAAGGCUUUCGGGUCGUAAAACUCUGUUAUAAGAGAAGAACAAAUUGUAGAGUAACUGCUACAGUCUUGACGGUAUCUUAUCAGAAAGCCACGGCUAACUACGUGCCAGCCGCCGCGGUAA
RNAcentral lists this ribosomal RNA (514 nucleotides) under uncultured bacterium. Its description in RNAcentral is "partial 16S ribosomal RNA". It matches the Rfam family "Bacterial small subunit ribosomal RNA", at positions 28 to 523 of the family's 1533-position model. The record is from RNAcentral.